RNAcentral lists this ribosomal RNA (406 nucleotides) under uncultured bacterium. RNAcentral's name for it is "partial 16S ribosomal RNA". It matches the Rfam family "Bacterial small subunit ribosomal RNA", at positions 30 to 526 of the family's 1533-position model. The record is from RNAcentral.
AUUGAACGCUGGCGGCAGGCCUAACACAUGCAAGUCGAGCGAGCGGCGGACGGGUGAGUAAUGUCUGGGAAACUGCCUGAUGGAGGGGGAUAACUACUGGAAACGGUAGCUAAUACCGCAUAACAUCAGAUGUGCCCAGAUGGGAUUAGCUAGUAGGUGGGGUAACGGCUCACCUAGGCGACGAUCCCGAGCUGGUCUGAGAGGAUGACCAGCCACACCAUAACGUAGCAACGGUCCAGAUUCCUACGGUAGGCAGCAGUGGGGAAUAUGGCACAAUGGGCGGAAGCCUGGUGCAGCCAUGCCGCGUGUGUGAAGAAGGCCUUCGUGUUGUAAAGCCCUUUCAGCGGGGAGGCGUUACCCGCAGAAGAAGCACCGGCUAACUCCGUGCCAGCAGCCGCGGUAAUAC